RNAcentral lists this ribosomal RNA (468 nucleotides) under uncultured bacterium. Its description in RNAcentral is "partial 16S ribosomal RNA". It matches the Rfam family "Bacterial small subunit ribosomal RNA", at positions 28 to 507 of the family's 1533-position model. The record is from RNAcentral.
GACGAACGCUGGCGGCGUGCUUAACACAUGCAAGUCGAACGGAAAGGCCCUGCUUUUGUGGGGUGCUCGAGUGGCGAACGGGGGAGUAACACGUGAGUAACCUGCCCUUGACUUUGGGAUAACUUCAGGAAACUGGGGCUAAUACCGGAUAGGAGCUCCUGCUGCAUGGUGGGGGUUGGAAAGUUUCGGCGGUUGGGGAUGGACUCGCGGCUUAUCAGCUUGUUGGUGGGGUAGUGGCUUACCAAGGCUUUGACGGGUAGCCGGCCUGAGAGGGUGACCGGCCACAUUGGGACUGAGAUACGGCCCAGACUCCUACGGGAGGCAGCAGUGGGGAAUAUUGCACAAUGGGCGGAAGCCUGAUGCAGCAACGCCGCGUGCGGGAUGACGGCCUUCGGGUGGUAAACCGCUUUCGCCUGUGACGAAGCGUGAGUGACGGUAAUGGGUAAAGAAGCACCGGCUAACUACGUG